RNAcentral lists this unclassified non-coding RNA (252 nucleotides) under Hevea brasiliensis (rubber tree). The record is from RNAcentral. Lineage: Eukaryota; Viridiplantae; Streptophyta; Magnoliopsida; Malpighiales; Euphorbiaceae.
AGGCUGGCCCAGGUCCUAGUGCCAGUCCGGCCUAUAGGUUGGGUCAUGACAUCCAGUAUCUCAAGAAACCAAUUUCUUAAAAUUCUUAAAAUUUUUGUUCUUCCUUCACCUUUUCCCUAAUUUCUUCUUUCUUGAGAACCAGACUUUUCCCUAUUUUUUCUUCUCAAUUUCAUUAUUUUCAAUUUCUGCCCUGUUAGGGUUUCUUUUCUCUAUUCUUUCUUGAAAUUUUUGAAAUCCUUAUUUCUGCCUCAA